This is a long non-coding RNA of Humulus lupulus (European hop), 561 nucleotides long. RefSeq lists it as uncharacterized. Lineage: Eukaryota; Viridiplantae; Streptophyta; Magnoliopsida; Rosales; Cannabaceae. The transcript has 4 exons. The record is from RefSeq and is a predicted model, not a curated record.
UAUUAACUCGUGUGUUCAUAAAAGAUCAGCAGAAGGAGGAAAGCAGGGCUCAUCAGUUAAAAAGCUGAAAAAAGACAAGGCAACGGGAGCAACAGGGAAAGCCACUCGUCCUGAGACAAACAUUGUAACUAUGGCACCAAGAGUCAAACCAGAGCUUCCUUUGCCUACAAUUUCAGUCGAGGUUGAGCAGUCUAUACUUGAUCACAGUAGAUUUUGUAACAAGAAAACAGGUUGAUGAUAUUUAACUUUCAUCAUCAAGUUCUGAGGUUUGUGUUUUUCUCCAAUUAAUUAUUCUUUUAGAUUGAACAUGUCUAUACUCGUCACAUGCUCAGAGACAUAUCUUGCCAUGAAAAGAAUCUGGACUUGAGGCUGGAUCUGUGCACCAAAAGAACUGUAACUACUUUUACUGAUGAUGACUUGGAAAGCCUCAAAUUUUUGAUAAAUUCUGCUAGAUGUUAGGCACCCAAUAAAAGAGAGUUUGAACAAGUUCCCUUGAAGGACUAGUACACCAUCUGGGGUUCACAGUCAAGCACAACAAGUUGAAGAACAGCUACAACAUCA